UACGUACUGUGCGACCGUUAUUCGGAAUCACUGGGCUUAAAGGGUGCGUAGGCGGCCAAUUAAGUAGGGUGUGAAAUACCUCGGCUCAACCGAGGCAUUGCGCUCUAAACUGGUUGGCUUGAGUGAGAUAGGGGUGUGCGGAACUUCCAGUGGAGCGGUGAAAUGUGUUGAUAUUGGAAGGAACGCCGGUGGCGAAAGCGGCACACUGGGUCUUAACUGACGCUGAGGCACGAAAGCCAGGGGAGCGAACGGG
RNAcentral lists this ribosomal RNA (253 nucleotides) under uncultured bacterium. RNAcentral's name for it is "partial 16S ribosomal RNA". It matches the Rfam family "Bacterial small subunit ribosomal RNA", at positions 524 to 776 of the family's 1533-position model. The record is from RNAcentral.